RNAcentral lists this unclassified non-coding RNA (248 nucleotides) under fungal sp. RNAcentral's name for it is "partial internal transcribed spacer region". The stretch from base 1 to 46 matches the Rfam family "Eukaryotic small subunit ribosomal RNA", at positions 1786 to 1831 of the family's 1831-position model. The record is from RNAcentral. Lineage: Eukaryota; Fungi.
AAGUCGUAACAAGGUUUCCGUAGGUGAACCUGCGGAAGGAUCAAUCCAAAUAUAUACAUUUUAUAUGUGUAUUAUACAUUUAUUGAAUGGUGGUUUUCUGGUGUUUGCCUGCUUUUUUUAUACUGCAUUCAAUCAUCAGUUUAACUGUCGUGAUUACAAUUAGACGGUGUCUAAGUAAUCAAACCAAUUUUAGCCAUUUGAAAUAUUUAAAACCGAUACACAACUAUUAGUGGUGGAUCACUUGGCUC